CACAGGCAUGUAGCUGUCGACAGCAACAACUGGAUACUUAGCAUCAAGCAGCAGGCGAGAAAUCUUUGGAUCUCUAGAAGAGAAGAAAUUGUGAAUGAGCAAACAACAACAAUCAGUCAUAUUAGAGUUGCUACAUUUCUUACAUGGCUUGUUUUCUCUGUCAAAAUGGAUCUACAACUACACAAAACAGGGACAAAUAAUGGUACUACACAACUUACAGGAAAGCUCAAAUGAGAUAAAGGCCACACAAUUACAACGUUUAAAAGACAGAAACAUAAGAGAGCUUCUAGAAAAGAGUAGCAGAAAGAGCAGCAACAGUGGUGAACCUGAGAGAGGUCCUCCAAGGGAUUAUUGAGCUAUUCAUGUUUGCAAAUGAAAAGAAUUCCUCUUCAGUCCACACAAGGUAAAGACAAAAAGUACAGAAUACUCCAAAAAGAUCCUAUUUACUUGAAUGACACGUAAAACUGAUGGAGAGGGAGUUUCACCAGCCCGAGCAGCUUGUCCUGUCCUGGGCUCCGCACCUUGUUCCAAGUUUCAAUUAUCAUCACAUUAUUUUUAAGCCUUUCCAGGUAUUUGGAAGACAGAGAGAUAGGAAUCACCUG
This is a long non-coding RNA of Cavia porcellus (domestic guinea pig), 602 nucleotides long. RefSeq lists it as uncharacterized. The record is from RefSeq and is a predicted model, not a curated record. NCBI's taxonomy places the organism in Eukaryota, Metazoa, Chordata, Mammalia, Rodentia, Caviidae. The transcript is spliced from 3 exons.